GACGAACGCUGGCGGCGUGCUUAACACAUGCAAGUCGAACGGUAAGGCCUUGCUUUUGUGGGGUGCUCGAGUGGCGAAAGCGUGUGUAUCACGUGAGUAACCUCCCCUUUACUUUGGGAUAACUUCAUGAAACUGGGGCUCUUACCGGAUAUGAGCUCCUUCUGCAUGGUGGGGGUUGUAAAGUUUCGGCGUUUGGGGAUGGACUCGCGGCCUAUCAGCUUGUUGGUGGGGUAGUGGCUUACCAAGGCGUUGACGGGUAGCCGGCCUGAGAGGGUGACCGGCCACAUUGGGACUGAGAUACGGGCCGGACUCCUACGGGAGGCAGGAGUGGGGAAUAUUGCAAGAUGGGCGGAAGCAGGAAGCAGCAACGCCGCGUGCGGGAUGACGGCCGUCGGGUUGGAAACCGCUUUCGCCUGUGAAGAAGAGUGAGUGACGGUAAUGGGUAAAGAAGCACCGGCUAACUACGUG
Molecule: ribosomal RNA, 468 nt
Filed under: uncultured bacterium
Lineage: Bacteria
Description: partial 16S ribosomal RNA
Rfam family: Bacterial small subunit ribosomal RNA
Source: RNAcentral